UGGGAUUACAGGUGUGACACAACUUUCCUGC
Molecule: non-coding RNA, 31 nt
Filed under: Mus musculus (house mouse)
Lineage: Eukaryota; Metazoa; Chordata; Mammalia; Rodentia; Muridae
Source: RNAcentral